CUAUAUACUAAAACCCAAACAGAAAAACACUGUUCAUUAACAGUGAUGUGACGAAAUUGACCCUGCUUGGUCUGUUUAAUUUCAAUUGCACCAUGUUUUACACGUGUUUGUCAUCAGUGAAAUGGAAGCAGGCUGAAAAAUCUGGGGUGUUCCACCUGCUUCCUUGCUCUUCUGUUCCUCUUCUGGACUCUUCUUUCCCAUCGACUUCUCUGUCACUAUCUCGCAACCAGCUACAACACUGAUUCCCCCUCCAUUUCUCCCGCUUAGCAAAAGAAAAUCAAAGGGGUUCACCUGCGCUUCUCUCUCUCUCUCUCUCUCUCCCUCCUCCAGUGAAGCACCUCCAUACAUAGGGUUUUUGGAUAAUUUCAUGAUUUAGCGAUCCGCGCAUUUUCCAUAACCCUCUUUACGGAAGUGGAGGAACCCAUCUAUAGGGUGAAGUGGUAGGUCUAAAAAUGGAUAUCAUCCAGUGGAAGGACCCAAAUGAGGUGGUUUAUUUUUAGACAAGAUGAGAAGAUGUAAACAGUUGGAGGUAGGUCCAUACCAUUUUCCAAGUUCUUUAUUAAUGUGAAUGUUUAUGUUAACCUGAUUAGGAACUUAAGUGAAUAAAUCGUUUUCGAAUUUGUAAACAAAUAAUUGCUUACAAAAUAAUGAACUCUGUUAAACAAAAAUAAUUGCCUACAUUAGAGAAUAAACAUUAUUGAAGUAUAUUUUAAAAUAUUUUUAAUUUAUAUAAAUAGAUAGGUUGCUAUUGCAUUCUGUGCCUAAAUCAAAUCACUAACUUGAAUCAUGCUCUUUAUUUGGGAACUGUUGUGUAUUUCUUAUUUGAAUUAGUAGGGUUUGCAUGUUUCUUUUUCAAAUUUGAUUUUGUGUGAUUUCAUUUUGAUAGAUAUUUCAGAAUUUCCGAAAGCAGGUGCGGUUUGAUCAAUUAAGGCCAACCUGAUUUACAGAGGUCUGAUUAGAGAGGUACACUACUAAUUACCUCACUUUUCUCCCAAGAGUAUGCUGCUUUUUCCAAAAGGAAAAGAUUAGCUUGGUUUGAUCUCUUAUUUGAAUUGUGUAUAUUUGGUUUGAUCUCUUAAUUUGUGUUGUGCUAAUUUUGUAUGAAUUAAUUUGGGUUGGACAGAGGAAGCAAAUAAUUUUUUUAAUUAAUAAAUUUAGUUUGGUUUGAUCUCU
Non-coding RNA from Malus domestica (apple), 1173 nucleotides. NCBI's taxonomy places the organism in Eukaryota, Viridiplantae, Streptophyta, Magnoliopsida, Rosales, Rosaceae. The record is from RefSeq and is a predicted model, not a curated record.